Molecule: long non-coding RNA, 406 nt
Filed under: Sus scrofa (pig)
Lineage: Eukaryota; Metazoa; Chordata; Mammalia; Artiodactyla; Suidae
Description: lncRNA (ENSSSCG00030031126.1)
Source: RNAcentral
UUGUUGAGACUUCCCAGAAUUUUUUUCACUUUGUCUAUAUUCCUGUACCACUUGUAAGCACCAGAAUUGGGAGCAGGAGCUGUCAAGAAUACUCAGUAUCUUCUUUGGCAGCCACUUCUACUCUUUGCUCCAGGUUACGUACAGCUGGGACUGCUGCUACCUGAUUGCAAGAAUUAUAUAAGACCAAGAUAAUGAAGGCUAGAUUUAAAAAACAUAAAGGUAAGUAAUCUGAAUUUGAACCCAGAUCUGUAUGACUCAGAAGUCCAUGCUUUUAAAUCAAUCCUCAUGCUGUCUCUAUGAGUAAGGGAAAAAAUGUCAUGAAAGUGUUAUUUUAGCCAGAAAUAAGUGUAGGAAAGGCCACAGAAACAGGACCCUCUAUAUUGCUUUGGCAAUGUUGGACAAACCU